UACGUAGGAUGCAAGCGUUGUCCGGCUUUAUUGGGUUUAAAGGGUGCGUAGGCGGCUUAUUAAGUUAGUGGUGAAAACGUUCGGCUUAACAGGAUACCCGCCAUUGAUACUGAUAGACUUGAGUGCGACAGAGGGUGUUGGAAUGUGUGGUGUAGCGGUGAAAUGCUUAGAUAUCACGCAGAACACCAAUUGCGAAGGCAGAUGCCUAUGUCGUAACUGACGCUGAGGCACGAAAGCGUGGGGAGCAAACAGG
This 253-nucleotide ribosomal RNA is filed under the name uncultured bacterium. Its description in RNAcentral is "partial 16S ribosomal RNA". It matches the Rfam family "Bacterial small subunit ribosomal RNA", at positions 524 to 776 of the family's 1533-position model. The record is from RNAcentral.